RNAcentral lists this ribosomal RNA (253 nucleotides) under uncultured bacterium. RNAcentral's name for it is "partial 16S ribosomal RNA". It matches the Rfam family "Bacterial small subunit ribosomal RNA", at positions 524 to 776 of the family's 1533-position model. The record is from RNAcentral.
UACGAAGGGGGCUAGCGUUGUUCGGAAUCACUGGGCGUAAAGGGUGCGCAGGCGGCCAAGUGUGUGAGGCGUGAAAGCCUGGGGCUUAACUCCAGAAUUGCACCUCAAACUACAUGGCUAGAGCAUUGGAGAGGGUAGCAGAAUUCACGGUGUAGCAGUGAAAUGCGUAGAUAUCGUGAGGAAUACCAGAGGCGAAGGCGGCUACCUGGACAAUUGCUGACGCUCAGGCACGAAAGCGUGGGGAGCAAAAGGG